Molecule: long non-coding RNA, 310 nt
Filed under: Malus domestica (apple)
Lineage: Eukaryota; Viridiplantae; Streptophyta; Magnoliopsida; Rosales; Rosaceae
Description: long non-coding RNA (MDOM_LNC020031)
Source: RNAcentral
UAGGUUGUAAGAAAAUGUUUUGUCAAACAAUAAAGACAUAAAUCAUCCAUCACCAAUUAAUUAUAAACCAAAACUUUAUGAAAAACAACAAACAUUUUGAAUCAAAACUCCAAACCUUUUUGUUCUUGGUAAGAACAUCAAGAAUAUUGAAGAACACACAUGAAAACUCAUAAGAGCUCCAUGAAUGUUUUCACACAAUAAAACUCAAAUUUUCACUACACAAAAGAUUGUUAACAUCCUAGGGUACUUAGGGGUUCCAAAAGUCUCUUUAAAACUCUUUUAACAAGACAAACAUGAACCCAAAAAUCCA